AUUAGGUUUUGUUCCUUCUUCAUUCAUCAAUGUUCUCAAAGCAGCAGAUGAGCAGCGCCGUCUGUGUGGUUGAACUGUCGAAGCAAUCAGCAGAGCGCAGAGGCGGUUAUUUUUUUUGGCAGGAUCGAAGAGCUCAGAGAAGGCAACCUUGACUCAGGAAGUGGACUCGCGGCGGCAGAGGAUGAGGCAGUGAGCGGAGGUCCAUCAGCGAGAAGAAUCAGAAGAAAGGGGGAGGAAGAAGAAAACAACAAGGGUAAAAUGGUCUUGACAAACGAACUUUUCUUCCCAGCAGCACUGGAAAACAAAAUCCCGUGAAAAAGUACUUCCUGCGAACCAAACAUGGCCUUAGUUUUGCCACUUUUCCCACAUCGGUGGGAAAAGUGGCAUGGGAGCCUUGAGGCUCCUAUAAAAGGGGCCUCAAGGCUCCAAAAUAAACACAAAGCUCCAUCCUUUGAUGGGCGAACAGGGAACCAGCCUAACUGGCUCUCGCAUACGCGGAGCCGGAAAUGGCUCGGUUCCACAGUUAUAAUAUUUUUGGAAUUACUGUCUCGUAAUCCCCCCCUCCCCUACCCCGCGACGACGAUGGCUUAUUAUUCUCUUCAGGUUCCCUCUACUGCUCUUUCUUUCUUUCCUGUUCUUUCUGUCAGCCUUCUACUCCAUUAUUGCUACACACCCCUCCCUCUUUAUAUAUAUAAUAAUAUAUAUAUAUUCUUGAUCAUUUCGAACGGAGCGUUAUACUUUGUAGUGGGUUUUGAAUUCAAAAAUUAUGUUUUUGUUUUUGGAUUUUUGUUUUACUAAAUUCUGUUUGUAAUUCAAUUGUAUAUCUUUUUUGUGUAUGGAUUUUGUCUCUGGCAGUGUUGAUUUAUAUAAGGUUCUGAUAUUUCGUAUUUAA
Ipomoea triloba (trilobed morning glory) is the source of this 892-nucleotide long non-coding RNA. RefSeq lists it as uncharacterized. NCBI's taxonomy places the organism in Eukaryota, Viridiplantae, Streptophyta, Magnoliopsida, Solanales, Convolvulaceae. The record is from RefSeq and is a predicted model, not a curated record. The transcript has 2 exons.